UCAAGUGAAGAAGCGCAUACGGUGGAUGCCUUGGCAGUCAGAGGCGAUGAAAGACGUGGUAGCCUGCGAAAAGCUUCGGGGAGUCGGCAAACAGACUGUGAUCCGGAGAUGUCUGAAUGGGGGAACCCAGCCAUCAUAAGAUGGUUAUCUUGUACUGAAUACAUAGGUGCAAGAGGCGAACCAGGGGAACUGAAACAUCUAAGUACCCUGAGGAAAAGAAAUCAACCGAGAUUCCCUUAGUAGUGGCGAGCGAACGGGGACCAGCCCUUAAGUUGUAUUGAGAUUAGCGGAACGUUCUGGAAAGGACGGCCAUAGUGGGUGAUAGCCCUGUACGCGAAAAUCCCUUUGCAAUGAAAUCGAGUAGGACGGGGCACGAGAAACCUUGUCUGAAUAUGGGGGGACCAUCCUCCAAGGCUAAAUACUACUGACUGACCGAUAGUGAACCAGUACCGUGAGGGAAAGGCGAAAAGAACCGCGGAGAGCGGAGUGAAAUAGAUCCUGAAACCGUAUGCGUACAAGCAGUGGGAGCCCACUUUGUUGGGUGACUGCGUACCUUUUGUAUAAUGGGUCAGCGACUUAUUUUCAGUGGCGAGCUUAACCGAAUAGGGGAGGCGUAGCGAAAGCGAGUCUUAAUAGGGCGUCUAGUCGCUGGGAAUAGACCCGAAACCGGGCGAUCUAUCCAUGGGCAGGUUGAAGGUUGGGUAACACUAACUGGAGGACCGAACCGACUACCGUUGAAAAGUUAGCGGAUGACCUGUGGAUCGGAGUGAAAGGCUAAUCAAGCUCGGAGAUAGCUGGUUCUCCUCGAAAGCUAUUUAGGUAGCGCCUCAUGUAUCACUGUAGGGGGUAGAGCACUGUUUCGGCUAGGGGGUCAUCCCGACUUACCAAACCGAUGCAAACUCCGAAUACCUGCAAGUGCCGAGCAUGGGAGACACACGGCGGGUGCUAACGUCCGUCGUGAAAAGGGAAACAACCCAGACCGUCAGCUAAGGUCCCAAAGUCAUGGUUAAGUGGGAAACGAUGUGGGAAGGCUUAGACAGCUAGGAGGUUGGCUUAGAAGCAGCCACCCUUUAAAGAAAGCGUAAUAGCUCACUAGUCGAGUCGGCCUGCGCGGAAGAUGUAACGGGGCUCAAACCAUGCACCGAAGCUACGGGUAUCAUCUUAGGAUGAUGCGGUAGAGGAGCGUUCUGUAAGCCUGUGAAGGUGAGUUGAGAAGCUUGCUGGAGGUAUCAGAAGUGCGAAUGCUGACAUGAGUAACGACAAUGGGUGUGAAAAACACCCACGCCGAAAGACCAAGGUUUCCUGCGCAACGUUAAUCGACGCAGGGUUAGUCGGUCCCUAAGGCGAGGCUGAAAAGCGUAGUCGAUGGAAAACAGGUUAAUAUUCCUGUACUUCUGGUUAUUGCGAUGGAGGGACGGAGAAGGCUAGGCCAGCCUGGCGUUGGUUGUCCAGGUUUAAGGUGGUAGGCUGAGAUCUUAGGUAAAUCCGGGAUCUUAAGGCCGAGAGCUGAUGACGAGUGUUCUUUUAGAACACGAAGUGGUUGAUGCCAUGCUUCCAAGAAAAGCUUCUAAGCUUCAGGUAACCAGGAACCGUACCCCAAACCGACACAGGUGGUUGGGUAGAGAAUACCAAGGCGCUUGAGAGAACUCGGGUGAAGGAACUAGGCAAAAUGGCACCGUAACUUCGGGAGAAGGUGCGCCGGUGGAGGUGAAGCAUUUACUGCGUAAGCCCCUGCCGGUCGAAGAUACCAGGCCGCUGCGACUGUUUAUUAAAAACACAGCACUCUGCAAACACGAAAGUGGACGUAUAGGGUGUGACGCCUGCCCGGUGCCGGAAGGUUAAUUGAUGGGGUUAGCGCAAGCGAAGCUCUUGAUCGAAGCCCCGGUAAACGGCGGCCGUAACUAUAACGGUCCUAAGGUAGCGAAAUUCCUUGUCGGGUAAGUUCCGACCUGCACGAAUGGCGUAACGAUGGCGGCGCUGUCUCCACCCGAGACUCAGUGAAAUUGAAAUCGCUGUGAAGAUGCAGUGUAUCCGCGGCUAGACGGAAAGACCCCGUGAACCUUUACUAUAGCUUUGCACUGGACUUUGAAUUUGCUUGUGUAGGAUAGGUGGGAGGCUUUGAAGCGUGGACGCCAGUCUGCGUGGAGCCAACCUUGAAAUACCACCCUGGCAACUUUGAGGUUCUAACUCAGGUCCGUUAUCCGGAUCGAGGACAGUGUAUGGUGGGUAGUUUGACUGGGGCGGUCUCCUCCUAAAGAGUAACGGAGGAGUACGAAGGUGCGCUCAGACCGGUCGGAAAUCGGUCGUAGAGUAUAAAGGCAAAAGCGCGCUUGACUGCGAGACAGACACGUCGAGCAGGUACGAAAGUAGGUCUUAGUGAUCCGGUGGUUCUGUAUGGAAGGGCCAUCGCUCAACGGAUAAAAGGUACUCCGGGGAUAACAGGCUGAUACCGCCCAAGAGUUCAUAUCGACGGCGGUGUUUGGCACCUCGAUGUCGGCUCAUCACAUCCUGGGGCUGAAGCCGGUCCCAAGGGUAUGGCUGUUCGCCAUUUAAAGUGGUACGCGAGCUGGGUUUAGAACGUCGUGAGACAGUUCGGUCCCUAUCUGCCGUGGACGUUUGAGAUUUGAGAGGGGCUGCUCCUAGUACGAGAGGACCGGAGUGGACGAACCUCUGGUGUUCCGGUUGUCACGCCAGUGGCAUUGCCGGGUAGCUAUGUUCGGAAAAGAUAACCGCUGAAAGCAUCUAAGCGGGAAACUUGCCUCAAGAUGAGAUCUCACUGGAACCUUGAGUUCCCUGAAGGGCCGUCGAAGACUACGACGUUGAUAGGUUGGGUGUGUAAGCGCUGUGAGGCGUUGAGCUAACCAAUACUAAUUGCCCGUGAGGCUUGACCAU
This 2892-nucleotide ribosomal RNA is filed under the name Pseudomonas syringae pv. syringae. RNAcentral describes it as "bacterial LSU rRNA". It matches the Rfam family "Bacterial large subunit ribosomal RNA". The record is from RNAcentral. Lineage: Bacteria; Pseudomonadati; Pseudomonadota; Gammaproteobacteria; Pseudomonadales; Pseudomonadaceae.